UACGUAGGGAGCAAGCGUUGUCCGGAAUCAUUGGGCGUAAAGCGCGCGUAGGUGGCCUCGUAAGUCCGCUGUGAAAGUCAAAGGCUCAACCUUUGAAAGCCGGUGGAUACUGUGAGGCUAGAGUACGGAAGAGGCGAGUGGAAUUCCUGGUGUAGCGGUGGAAUGCGCAGAUAUCAGGAGGAACACCAAUAGCGAAGGCAGCUCGCUGGGACGUUACUGACGCUGAGGAGCGAAAGCGUGGGGAGCGAACAGG
Molecule: ribosomal RNA, 253 nt
Filed under: uncultured bacterium
Lineage: Bacteria
Description: partial 16S ribosomal RNA
Rfam family: Bacterial small subunit ribosomal RNA
Source: RNAcentral